UACGUAGGGUGCGAGCGUUGUCCGGAAUUAUUGGGCGUAAAGAGCUUGUAGGCGGUUUGUCGCGUCUGCUGUGAAAAUCCGGGGCUCAACCCCGGACUUGCAGUGGGUACGGGCAGACUAGAGUGCUGUAGGGGAGACUGGAAUUCCUGGUGUAGCGGUGAAAUGCGCAGAUAUCAGGAGGAACACCGGUGGCGAAGGCGGGUCUCUGGGCCGAUACUGACGCUGAGGAGCGAAAGCGUGGGGAGCGAACAGG
RNAcentral lists this ribosomal RNA (253 nucleotides) under uncultured bacterium. RNAcentral describes it as "partial 16S ribosomal RNA". It matches the Rfam family "Bacterial small subunit ribosomal RNA", at positions 524 to 776 of the family's 1533-position model. The record is from RNAcentral.